GUUUUGUCUGGGGCUCGUCCUGCUACAUUUCUUGGUUCCCUGAACAGGAAGCGAGGUAACUGACGGACGGCCAAGGCAGCCCCUUGGGUGGCUUAGGCCUGCCCUGUGGAGCAUCCCUGCGGUGGACUCUGGCCAGCCUGAGUGACGCGAUCCAAAGAGCGCUCCCGGGUAGGAAAUUCCCCGGGUGGAACGCCUCGCCAGAGCAGCACGUAGCAGGCCCCCGAGGAGGAUUAACACACUGGCUGAACACUGGGAAGGAACUGGCACUUGGAGUCCGGACAUCUGAAACUUGCAACCCACUCUCUGUGCUAUGACUUCAUUACUCUUUCCCAGCCCAGCCCUGGGCAAGCCCCUUACGAAGUCUCAGGCUACCUGGAUGACCACCCUUUCUUAUGAUGCUGCAAGGAGGGCAGGUGGGCAGAGCCCCGUGCAUCCUGGGCUCAGGCCAGGGACCCAAGAGCUUGGGAGAAGCUGGUUCUCAGACUGAAGGCCAGAGCCCAGCACCUUGUCACCAUCCCGGGGAGCAUCAUGGCACACAACAACCAGAGCCAAGAGUCACACACCCUCCAGACCACGGUUGUCUGUGAGUUGCUGGGGAACCGGAGCAGCUGGGGACACUGGCACUACAACUGUGAUGGCCAGGACUCCCUUCUUAGCACACUUGAGUCUUUCAACUCCAGCAAAAGCCAGCCAGAACCAAGCAUAGCUGCAGAAGGAGAGAAGGGAAGGAAACAAUCCUUCCUGACCUAGAGCUGCGUCUACCCUCUCCGGAAACACCUGAAAGCUGGGGUGGGACCACGGCCCACCGUAGGUGUGAUAGGUGUGCAGAGAAGUCUACAUUCCCAUGUCAAAUUGACAGGCCUCGGAAGUCAAAAUAAGUGGUUUCCUAGACCGGGUCGAGAGCAAGUCUCUAUUGGUCCCAACUGAGUUUUUUCAGCUGGUUUUUCAACCAAACAGCACCUCAUCUCCCAGUGAGGGGAAGGGAAGGCUGGGCUGAGAGCAGCAAGGCUGCUCAUCUCACCUCUCCCCACCCAGCCAUGCCAGCCGCCUCACCUGGUGGGGAGAGGUGGGCCUCACCUGGGUCCCCUGGCAGUGCUCUGUGAAGGGUCUUGACAUUGCACUGUAAUAAUAAAGGUGUGUGUGAAGUAUC
Molecule: long non-coding RNA, 1150 nt
Filed under: Homo sapiens (human)
Lineage: Eukaryota; Metazoa; Chordata; Mammalia; Primates; Hominidae
Description: psoriasis susceptibility 1 candidate 3, transcript variant 3 (PSORS1C3)
Source: RNAcentral